Xenopus laevis (African clawed frog) is the source of this 353-nucleotide long non-coding RNA. RefSeq lists it as uncharacterized. The record is from RefSeq and is a predicted model, not a curated record. The transcript has 2 exons. NCBI's taxonomy places the organism in Eukaryota, Metazoa, Chordata, Amphibia, Anura, Pipidae.
AAAGGACCUUGAUGACAUCACGAUCACAUGGCCUUAUCAUGUGACAGCCCUGCGGAAAACUAGCUGUUACUGAGAGGUAGAUUCAAAUGGCUGUUGCUUUGCUGUGGCAAAUGGCGGGCAGCGAACUCUUCAUGGAAUCCCUGCUGCUGCUGCCAUCCCAGCAUUCAGACUCUUCUUUCGUCUCCAUCUUUUUAAUUAUUUUGUGCAAAUUAUAGUUUGUUUUCUUUUCCUCUGUGUUGUCAAUGGUAGUGCUACUCAUUAAGGAAAGGUAUGGUUCUACUUAACUGUGCCAUAGAUUUGUUGUCUGAUCCUGCCUUAUUAUUUAAUAAAUUCGUAAUAAAAUUCUAAUAUGA